AUAUUGUGAGCUCGAUGAGUAGGGCGGGACACGUGGUAUCCUGUCUGAAUAUGGGGGGACCAUCCUCCAAGGCUAAAUACUCCUGACUGACCGAUAGUGAACCAGUACCGUGAGGGAAAGGCGAAAAGAACCCCGGCGAGGGGAGUGAAAAAGAACCUGAAACCGUGUACGUACAAGCAGUGGGAGCACGCUUAGGCGUGUGACUGCGUACCUUUUGUAUAAUGGGUCAGCGACUUAUAUUCUGUAGCAAGGUUAACCGAAUAGGGGAGCCGAAGGGAAACCGAGUCUUAACUGGGCGUUAAGUUGCAGGGUAUAGACCCGAAACCCGGUGAUCUAGCCAUGGGCAGGUUGAAGGUUGGGUAACACUAACUGGAGGACCGAACCGACUAAUGUUGAAAAAUUAGCGGAUGACUUGUGGCUGGGGGUGAAAGGCCAAUCAAACCGGGAGAUAGCUGGUUCUCCCCGAAAGCUAUUUAGGUAGCGCCUCGUGAAUUCAUCUCCGGGGGUAGAGCACUGUUUCGGCAAGGGGGUCAUCCCGACUUACCAACCCGAUGCAAACUGCGAAUACCGGAGAAUGUUAUCACGGGAGACACACGGCGGGUGCUAACGUCCGUCGUGAAGAGGGAAACAACCCAGACCGCCAGCUAAGGUCCCAAAGUCAUGGUUAAGUGGGAAACGAUGUGGGAAGGCCCAGACAGCCAGGAUGUUGGCUUAGAAGCAGCCAUCAUUUAAAGAAAGCGUAAUAGCUCACUGGUCGAGUCGGCCUGCGCGGAAGAUGUAACGGGGCUAAACCAUGCACCGAAGCUGCGGCAGCGACGCUUAUGCGUUGUUGGGUAGGGGAGCGUUCUGUAAGCCUGUGAAGGUGUGCUGUGAGGCAUGCUGGAGGUAUCAGAAGUGCGAAUGCUGACAUAAGUAACGAUAAAGCGGGUGAAAAGCCCGCUCGCCGGAAGACCAAGGGUUCCUGUCCAACGUUAAUCGGGGCAGGGUGAGUCGACCCCUAAGGCGAGGCCGAAAGGCGUAGUCGAUGGGAAACAGGUUAAUAUUCCUGUACUUGGUGUUACUGCGAAGGGGGGACGGAGAAGGCUAUGUUGGCCGGGCGACGGUUGUCCCGGUUUAAGCGUGUAGGCUGGUUUUCCAGGCAAAUCCGGAAAAUCAAGGCUGAGGCGUGAUGACGAGGCACUACGGUGCUGAAGCAACAAAUGCCCUGCUUCCAGGAAAAGCCUCUAAGCAUCAGGUAACAUCAAAUCGUACCCCAAACCGACACAGGUGGUCAGGUAGAGAAUACCAAGGCGCUUGAGAGAACUCGGGUGAAGGAACUAGGCAAAAUGGUGCCGUAACUUCGGGAGAAGGCACGCUGAUAUGUAGGUGAAGCGACUUGCUCGUGGAGCUGAAAUCAGUCGAAGAUACCAGCUGGCUGCAACUGUUUAUUAAAAACACAGCACUGUGCAAACACGAAAGUGGACGUAUACGGUGUGACGCCUGCCCGGUGCCGGAAGGUUAAUUGAUGGGGUCAGCGCAAGCGAAGCUCUUGAUCGAAGCCCCGGUAAACGGCGGCCGUAACUAUAACGGUCCUAAGGUAGCGAAAUUCCUUGUCGGGUAAGUUCCGACCUGCACGAAUGGCGUAAUGAUGGCCAGGCUGUCUCCACCCGAGACUCAGUGAAAUUGAACUCGCUGUGAAGAUGCAGUGUACCCGCGGCAAGACGGAAAGACCCCGUGAACCUUUACUAUAGCUUGACACUGAACAUUGAGCCUUGAUGUGUAGGAUAGGUGGGAGGCUUAGAAGUGUGGACGCCAGUCUGCAUGGAGCCGACCUUGAAAUACCACCCUUUAAUGUUUGAUGUUCUAACGUUGACCCGUAAUCCGGGUUGCGGACAGUGUCUGGUGGGUAGUUUGACUGGGGCGGUCUCCUCCUAAAGAGUAACGGAGGAGCACGAAGGUUGGCUAAUCCUGGUCGGACAUCAGGAGGUUAGUGCAAUGGCAUAAGCCAGCUUGACUGCGAGCGUGACGGCGCGAGCAGGUGCGAAAGCAGGUCAUAGUGAUCCGGUGGUUCUGAAUGGAAGGGCCAUCGCUCAACGGAUAAAAGGUACUCCGGGGAUAACAGGCUGAUACCGCCCAAGAGUUCAUAUCGACGGCGGUGUUUGGCACCUCGAUGUCGGCUCAUCACAUCCUGGGGCUGAAGUAGGUCCCAAGGGUAUGGCUGUUCGCCAUUUAAAGUGGUACGCGAGCUGGGUUUAGAACGUCGUGAGACAGUUCGGUCCCUAUCUGCCGUGGGCGCUGGAGAACUGAGGGGGGCUGCUCCUAGUACGAGAGGACCGGAGUGGACGCAUCACUGGUGUUCGGGUUGUCAUGCCAAUGGCACUGCCCGGUAGCUAAAUGCGGAAGAGAUAAGUGCUGAAAGCAUCUAAGCACGAAACUUGCCCCGAGAUGAGUUCUCCCUGACUCCUUGAGAGUCCUGAAGGAACGUUGAAGACGACGACGUUGAUAGGCCGGGUGUGUAAGCGCAGCGAUGCGUUGAGCUAACCGGUACUAAUGAACCGUGAGGCUUAACCUUACAACGCCGAAGCUGUU
This 2568-nucleotide ribosomal RNA is filed under the name Escherichia coli. Its description in RNAcentral is "partial 23S ribosomal RNA". It matches the Rfam family "Bacterial large subunit ribosomal RNA", at positions 394 to 2925 of the family's 2925-position model. The record is from RNAcentral. Lineage: Bacteria; Pseudomonadati; Pseudomonadota; Gammaproteobacteria; Enterobacterales; Enterobacteriaceae.